RNAcentral lists this ribosomal RNA (789 nucleotides) under Vibrio cholerae. RNAcentral's name for it is "partial 23S ribosomal RNA". It matches the Rfam family "Bacterial large subunit ribosomal RNA", at positions 395 to 1188 of the family's 2925-position model. Lineage: Bacteria; Pseudomonadati; Pseudomonadota; Gammaproteobacteria; Vibrionales; Vibrionaceae. The record is from RNAcentral.
AUCGAGCGUGAAAUCGAGUAGGGCGGGACACGUGAUAUCCUGUCUGAAUAUGGGGGGACCAUCCUCCAAGGCUAAAUACUCCUGACUGACCGAUAGUGAACCAGUACCGUGAGGGAAAGGCGAAAAGAACCCCUGUGAGGGGAGUGAAAUAGAACCUGAAACCGUGUACGUACAAGCAGUAGGAGCACCUUCGUGGUGUGACUGCGUACCUUUUGUAUAAUGGGUCAGCGACUUAUAUUCAGUGGCAAGGUUAACCGUAUAGGGGAGCCGUAGCGAAAGCGAGUCUUAACUGGGCGCUCAGUCUCUGGAUAUAGACCCGAAACCGGGUGAUCUAGCCAUGGGCAGGUUGAAGGUUGAGUAACAUCAACUGGAGGACCGAACCGACUAAUGUUGAAAAAUUAGCGGAUGACUUGUGGCUAGGGGUGAAAGGCCAAUCAAACUCGGAGAUAGCUGGUUCUCCCCGAAAGCUAUUUAGGUAGCGCCUCGGACGAAUACUACUGGGGGUAGAGCACUGUUAAGGCUAGGGGGUCAUCCCGACUUACCAACCCUUUGCAAACUCCGAAUACCAGUAAGUACUAUCCGGGAGACACACGGCGGGUGCUAACGUCCGUCGUGGAGAGGGAAACAACCCAGACCGCCAGCUAAGGUCCCAAAGUAUUGCUAAGUGGGAAACGAUGUGGGAAGGCUCAGACAGCUAGGAUGUUGGCUUAGAAGCAGCCAUCAUUUAAAGAAAGCGUAAUAGCUCACUAGUCGAGUCGGCCUGCGCGGAAGAUGUAACGGGGCUAAGCA